This 451-nucleotide ribosomal RNA is filed under the name uncultured bacterium. RNAcentral describes it as "bacterial SSU rRNA". It matches the Rfam family "Bacterial small subunit ribosomal RNA", at positions 330 to 795 of the family's 1533-position model. The record is from RNAcentral.
UCCAGACUCCUACGGGAGGCAGCAGUGGGGGAUAUUGGACAAUGGGGGAAACCCUGAUCCAGCGACGCCGCGUGAGUGAAGAAGUAUUUCGGUAUGUAAAGCUCUAUCAGCAGGGAAGAAAGAAAUGACGGUACCUGAGUAAGAAGCCCCGGCUAACUACGUGCCAGCAGCCGCGGUAAUACGUAGGGGGCAAGCGUUAUCCGGAAUUACUGGGUGUAAAGGGAGCGUAGACGGCAGGGCAAGUCUGGAGUGAAAGGCAGGGGCCCAACCCCUGGACUGCUCUGGAAACUGUCCGGCUGGAGUGCAGGAGAGGUAAGUGGAAUUCCUAGUGUAGCGGUGAAAUGCGUAGAUAUUAGGAGGAACACCAGUGGCGAAGGCGGCUUACUGGACUGUAACUGACGUUGAGGCUCGAAAGCGUGGGGAGCAAACAGGAUUAGAUACCCCAGUAUUC